GAUGAAGUGAGUAUUGUUCGACUUUAUUAUGCUAUUUAACAGAGCCAGAGCAUCAUCAAAUUGAAAUUAAGAUUUUUAGGAAGCUAAGCUAACAUUUUGAAGUAGUUAGUGUCUAGCCUUCUAAAAGCACAUGUGAAUGACUUAUAGAAAUUCCGAUUCCAACCUUAGAUGGUAGAAAAGUUAGGUGUCUUCUAGGAUGCUUAGAGUUAGGAAAUAUGCCUGUGUACGAUAAAGUGGCUUAAAUCAGGACUUGAAUGCAUGAUGAUUCAUCCGGGUGAAAGAAAAAGGUCAAAAGGUUUGGUAGAAACUAGGUCAACUUGCACAGGAAAUGCUUCAACAUAGACUAAGAAUGCAUCAAAUAGAUGAGAUGGUAGCAUCUACAAC
RNAcentral lists this unclassified non-coding RNA (384 nucleotides) under Hevea brasiliensis (rubber tree). Lineage: Eukaryota; Viridiplantae; Streptophyta; Magnoliopsida; Malpighiales; Euphorbiaceae. The record is from RNAcentral.